This is a non-coding RNA of Mycena rebaudengoi, 91 nucleotides long. The record is from the annotation of a GenBank genome assembly. NCBI's taxonomy places the organism in Eukaryota, Fungi, Basidiomycota, Agaricomycetes, Agaricales, Mycenaceae.
GGCCCAGUGGCAGAUGGUCUGCGUCUGCACGCAAUCCCGAAGAGCCAACAAACUUGUGCAGAAGACGCUUGUUCGACUCAAGCCUGGGCCG